GUUAACGACAGUGUUUCACUCCACAGCACCCUCUGUGUUUAAUCCACAGCAGAGUAUCCACUCCCUCUCCUCAUCUCUCACUAAUUCGCCUACAUCACUGCUCCGAGUCUCCGACCAUUGCUGAGACUUCUCCGAUUCCACCGACCUUAACCAGCAAACCCUCUUAGCUUCUCCUUCCGUUCUCCGCUUACCAGAUAUAGGGAUUGGCAUUGUAACAAAAUCAACUUCUUUAUCGUCUAUUGUCUGCCUUUAUGCAAAUGUUCAAGUCUGAAGAUGUUCUAACAGAUGCCUUCUUAGUAAGAUGGGAGUGACGAAGACACAGUAGAAAAAUUGGUGGAGAUGAGACUGAAAUGAACUUGGAAACCAAGAAAUGGUGGUUGGUAUUUAUUGAAAAACUAUAAGGUUUUUUGGCUCAAUUUUUAACGAAAUAAAAAAAUAUACAUUUCUUUCACCCAAUUGGCACUUUAAAUUAGUAUAGAUAUAGAUAUAGAUAUAAUAUAGAUAUAGAUUGUCCAUACUCCAUCACAUCAUCUCAUUGCGAUGGAGUUGUCCUCGGUGUUGGGACACGGCUUUCAACCUGUAUUUCGUUUCAAUUCAACCAUCAAUAAUUCCAGCCAGAUUGCAGCCACUACGCCGGUGCGUAUUGCCAAUCCAAUUUGUUCUAAUGAUGCUUCAGUACAUCCUCAAGUUCGGACCAAAUCACUCAGAAAAGUAUCCAAGGAAACAACAGAAUCUGCAAUUCGCGAUAUUCAAGAUUCUUCUGAUUUGGAGUCUGCUCUCUUAAGGUCAGGAGAGGCGUUGAGAGUGCAACAUCUGAAUAUCAUAUUGCGUUAUUUUGGGAAGUUUAACAGACGGAAGGAUGUCUGCCAGGUUCUAAUUAAUUGCAGAUGUGCUGUUAUUUCUUUCUUUUAUCCUUGUAGCACAUCUUGUUCACAGUAUUUUGAUGCACAUGCUUGUCAAUUGUUUCUCUUA
Salvia hispanica is the source of this 972-nucleotide non-coding RNA. The record is from RefSeq and is a predicted model, not a curated record. NCBI's taxonomy places the organism in Eukaryota, Viridiplantae, Streptophyta, Magnoliopsida, Lamiales, Lamiaceae.